UACAGAGGUCUCGAGCGUUGUUCGGAUUCAUUGGGCGUAAAGGGUGCGUAGGUGGCUAGGUAAGUCGGAUGUGAAAAUCCCGGGGCUCAACCCCGGAACUGCAUUCGAUACUGCCUGGCUAGAGUACUGGAGAGGAGAUUGGAAUUUACGGUGUAGCAGUGAAAUGCGUAGAUAUCGUAAGGAAGACCAGUGGCGAAGGCGGAUCUCUGGACAGUUACUGACACUGAGGCACGAAGGCCAGGGGAGCAAACGGG
Molecule: ribosomal RNA, 254 nt
Filed under: uncultured bacterium
Lineage: Bacteria
Description: partial 16S ribosomal RNA
Rfam family: Bacterial small subunit ribosomal RNA
Source: RNAcentral